CAAUUUACUCCUUAAACUUUAAACACCUGCCAAAUCAAUAUCUCUGUUACUCUUCUGUUAAUAAACUAACGGUAAAACUCACGUGAGAGGCAUGUGUGGGAAUAAAAACUAAAGCUGAACAGCCUGAACUGUUGAGAGAGAGAGAGAGAGAAAGUUUGAGCUCAAUUUAGAGAGAGGGGAGAUGAUCCAACCAGAAGUCCAUAACAACCUCGGUAGCCUCUCUCCGGUGCCGGAGUUCCACCGUCAUCUCACUGGCUGUUCACCGCUGGUCUAUGUAUGAAUGUCUACUGUCACUUCCUACAAAUUCAUCUGAUGAGGAAGGGAAUUCCAGGCCUAGAUUCCAUGAGUUUAACCAACACACUGACAUGAAGAAUGUAUAGCCAACAAAUGGACUCAAAUUUGUAUCACAUGUAGUCUUCAAGGAGGCAUUAAAGGAGUGGUGUAUUAGAGAAAAUCAUGAUUGGGCAAUAAGUGGAGAGUAACAACUAGAUGUAAAAAAAUUAUAAAUAAAUAAAUAAAUAAGUGGUUGGAAGAUAAGAGGCAUCCCAAACACAAAGGGGUGUUAUUUUUUGUAUAAUUAUUGAUUCAUUGGGUGUUAUUUUUUUGAAACAAUUUACUAUUUGUAAACGCUCAUUGUUAUUUUAAUUCAUGGUGGUUGAGGAGAACAA
Long non-coding RNA from Quercus robur (English oak), 668 nucleotides. RefSeq lists it as uncharacterized. Lineage: Eukaryota; Viridiplantae; Streptophyta; Magnoliopsida; Fagales; Fagaceae. The record is from RefSeq and is a predicted model, not a curated record. The transcript is spliced from 2 exons.